AUUGAACGCUGGCGGCAGGCCUAACACAUGCAAGUCGAACGGUAACAGGAAGCAGCUUGCUGCUUCGCUGACGAGUGGCGGACGGGUGAGUAAUGUCUGGGAAACUGCCUGAUGGAGGGGGAUAACUACUGGAAACGGUAGCUAAUACCGCAUAACGUCGCAAGACCAAAGAGGGGGACCUUAGGGCCUCUUGCCAUCGGAUGUGCCCAGAUGGGAUUAGCUAGUAGGUGGGGUAACGGCUCACCUAGGCGACGAUCCCUAGCUGGUCUGAGAGGAUGACCAGCCACACUGGAACUGGGACACGGUCCAGGCUCCUGCGGGAGGGAGCAGUGGGGAAUAUUGGACAAUGGGCGGAAGCCUGGUGCAACCAUGCCGCGUGUAUGAAGGAGGCCUUCGGGUUGUAAAGUACUUUCAGCGGGGGGGAAGGGAGUAAAGUUAAUACCUUUGCUCAUUGACGUUACCCGCAGAAGAAGCACCGGCUAACUCCGUG
RNAcentral lists this ribosomal RNA (490 nucleotides) under uncultured bacterium. Its description in RNAcentral is "partial 16S ribosomal RNA". It matches the Rfam family "Bacterial small subunit ribosomal RNA", at positions 30 to 507 of the family's 1533-position model. The record is from RNAcentral.